AUUGAACGCUGGCGGCAGGCCUAACACAUGCAAGUCGAGCGGAUGAAGGGAGCUUGCUCCUGGAUUCAGCGGCGGACGGGUGAGUAAUGCCUAGGAAUCUGCCUGGUAGUGGGGGAUAACGUCCGGAAACGGGCACUAAUACCGCAUACGUCCUGAGGGAGAAAGUGGGGGAUCUUCGGACCUCACGCUAUCAGAUGAGCCUAGGACGGAUUAGCUAGUUGGUGGGGUAAAGGCCUACCAAGGCGACGAUCCGUAACUGGUCUGAGAGGAUGAUCAGUCACACUGGAACUGAGACACGGUCCAGACUCCUACGGGAGGCAGCAGUGGGGAAUAUUGGACAAUGGGCGAAAGCCUGAUCCAGCCAUGCCGCGUGUGUGAAGAAGGUCUUCGGAUUGUAAAGCACUUUAAGUUGGGAGGAAGGGCAGUAAGUUAAUACCUUGCUGUUUUGACGUUACCAACAGAAUAAGCACCGGCUAACUUCGUG
RNAcentral lists this ribosomal RNA (484 nucleotides) under uncultured bacterium. Its description in RNAcentral is "partial 16S ribosomal RNA". It matches the Rfam family "Bacterial small subunit ribosomal RNA", at positions 30 to 507 of the family's 1533-position model. The record is from RNAcentral.